Long non-coding RNA from Drosophila miranda, 2415 nucleotides. RefSeq lists it as uncharacterized. The transcript has 3 exons. NCBI's taxonomy places the organism in Eukaryota, Metazoa, Arthropoda, Insecta, Diptera, Drosophilidae. The record is from RefSeq and is a predicted model, not a curated record.
AUCCUUAGCAAUGAAAAUAUUUAUUUCUGCUUUAAAUAUAAUGAACACUUUGCAUUAUAAUCGGAUUAAAAAUAGCUAAUGUCUUUUGCUUGUUUUUCGUCAUUCGUAAACUUAUUCUGCAUUGCUUUGACAGAGGCCCAGGUACGAGUACAAGCAUAACGAAAACAGCUUGCGAUAAGAGCAGCGAGCGAAAGCUUUAGAAUAUUGUAAAUUCAUUCAAAAGUACAUAUUUCAAUGAUGAAAUAUUCCCUGCCAGAUGCCCAAUACAACAGAGUGGACGACCAGAGUAGAGUGGAUGAAAGGUCGAAUUGAAGUGCUGCCAGCUUGAUAUCAUCAAAAAAUCAAAUAUUAACCAGUUCAAACGUAUGGCCAUAUUAAUACCCAUCAAUCUACUCGGUUUUUACAAAUCGAAGCACUUAAAAAGCGCGUCCAUUCCGGCUAUACUUAUUCCGAUCGCAAAGUGGUUCUGCAAUCUAGUAGAUAUAAUCUUUCUUCAUGAGUCUCCGGAUUUCCCCUAUCUGUCUAUAAACGUUUCACUCACCAGUGUGUGGGUGUAGCCAAGACCCUCUUCCAUAUCUCCCUCGACCAUGGGGCUCUGCUCUCCACGAUGGUGAGGAUGAUGACCCAUAUUUGAGUACAGCGAGGACGCAUUGGAAUGUGUACGCACAGGGUGGUGUAUCCGGGCUGAGGCCGAUGAUGGUGCGACUAGCAGGGAUUCGCUUUCGUUUUUGUUUACUUUCGCCAUUUCUUAUAUCUUAUAUCUCUCGACUUUCCACGCACGAAAAGCUCUUAAAUUUUGAAUUUUUUCAGCAUUCGUCACUUGUGAAUGCCCAUGGAAUCACAUUCGUCACAUGAAUUGAAUUUAAAAGCAAGAGCAAAAGCAAAUUUCUUGGGCUCUUUUCUACAUUAAGUCCAAUUAGCACAAUGUAAAAUGCACUUGUGUUGCAGUACACGAUGAUGGCGAAGUCACAAGAUCGACUUCCUUUCGAGAUCCAAGGGCUCGAGCUCGGGCGACGAGUAGGUGGUUGCACCAGUAACUUCUGCUGUCCAACGACUGUGACGACGACGACGACGACGACGUCUCCGUUGCCUGGGAAACUUCUACUGAUACCGCGCUACCGUCUACCGGCUACCGGCCACCAUUGCCGCUCUCUGGUGUUAUCUGUAGAAAUCACUUUUUACUCUUGUCUACCCUUUGGGCCGAAUCCGACUGGCGAUAAGGGAGUGUUUAAGAGGUUUUUUGUAUAGCCAAUAGCCAUGUGUACAUUUCAAGUGGCGCACUUAACUGUGUGAAGGCUUAAUUAACAGCAGCAAUAACGACCAUAACAAUGGCACAUCGGAAUACCUGUCUCACAGGUUAAUUAUAUUCUUAUCAAAAUAUAUUUGGGAUAUCACUUGCAAUGCCACUGAGAAACCGAUCUGGAAUGAGGAGGAAAUGUACAAGUAAUAUGAAAACAUGGUUUAUGUUUGUUCUGAUUUUCCCCACAAUAAAGCAAGUAGCUUCCGACUGAACGAUUAGACGCCACUACGAGUAUAUACUCGUGAUAAGGCUGUAAUCGUUGGAUCGAGGCUGACUAAGACACAGUGCAGUGCAGGAGGAGCGGAACAGUAGGCGGAAUAAUUUAUGAUUUUAUUAUUAUUUAUAAAUUGCCAGCCAGCCAGUUUCAUUGAGCAACUUUUGGCUGAACUUUAAAGAUUUAUUACAAUUUGUUAAUCUCUAGUCAGUAUUAUGAUGGGGGAUUGUACAAAUUUACGGGUUGCGAAUUCCAAAUUCCGAUGUCAGUGCCAAAGUUAUUUUGUUUAAGCUCAUAAUUCUUAACGCUAUACAUUUUUGGAUUUGUUUAAAUAUUUUCUGUUUAUUUUUAUUGAUCUGCUAAAAAUGGAUAAUGCUAAUGACCAUUUUAAACGACUAUCAAAUUAUUUGAUGGCUGUGUUGUGUUUUCAUUGGCUACUGGCCAUAGGCAUUACUGGCUAUCUAAGUAGUGGGAUCUAUAGAUCUUUCCUGAUAAAUAUAAACCCUUAUUAAUGUAGUAUAUAUGUAUGUAUAAACUUUCUUGUAUCACUUUUUUCACGGUUUCUGUGUCAUGGCAAUACGAAGUGAAUCUUUGAAGCCACUCGAGGAAAAUAUUAAUAAUGUAUGUACAUAUUUGCUCUAGCUGAUAAGGAAACGUAAUAAUGUGAAAGACAAAUCUUUUGAAGGGGCACGAUCAGACAAGUGGAUGGCCUGCUGAAGUUUGAACUCAUUUUUUAAGGGGAUUUUAAGCCAACCUCUUUGAGUUAAGACUAAACCUAAAGUAAUUGUCGAGUAGCACUUCUUCACUUCUCUUACCUCAUCUGCAGCGUUUACUGUGGCCUGUCUGUUGAAUAUAUGUACCUACGAGUUAUACUAUAAAAAGCUCAAAGUUUGACAAAAAA